GAUGAACGCUGGCGGCGUGCUUAACACAUGCAAGUCGAACGGAAAGGCCCAAGCUUGCUUGGGUACUCGAGUGGCGAACGGGUGAGUAACAAGUGGGUGAUCUGCCCUGCACUUCGGGAUAAGCCUGGGAAACUGGGUCUAAUACCGGAUAGGACGAUGGUUUGGAUGCCAUUGUGGAAAGUUUUUUCGGAGUGGGAUGAGCUCGCGGCCUAUCAGCUUGUUGGUGGGGUAAUGGCCUACCAAGGCGUCGACGGGUAGCCGGCCUGAGAGGGUGUACGGCCACAUUGGGACUGCGAUACGGCCCAGACUCCUACGGGAGGCAGCAGUGGGGAAUAUUGCACAAUGGGCGCAAGCCUGAUGCAGCGACGCCGCGUGGGGGAUGACGGCCUUCGGGUUGUAAACUCCUUUCGCUAGGGACGAAGCGUUUUGUGACGGUACCUGGAGAAGAAGCACCGGCUAACUACGUG
This 467-nucleotide ribosomal RNA is filed under the name uncultured bacterium. RNAcentral's name for it is "partial 16S ribosomal RNA". It matches the Rfam family "Bacterial small subunit ribosomal RNA", at positions 28 to 507 of the family's 1533-position model. The record is from RNAcentral.